RNAcentral lists this long non-coding RNA (1800 nucleotides) under Eptatretus burgeri (inshore hagfish). RNAcentral describes it as "lncRNA (ENSEBUG00000017246.1)". Lineage: Eukaryota; Metazoa; Chordata; Myxini; Myxiniformes; Myxinidae. The record is from RNAcentral.
UGUGUGUGUGUGUGUGUGUGUUUGUUUGUUGGCACGAUAACUCGAGCGGAAGAAGCUACCAAUGUCAAAUUACACCACGUGAUUCGGGAGGGUGAUGGCUCGCGCUGAUUAGAUUUUGGUCAAAGGUCAAGGUCACAGUGAGGUCAAACAUUUGAUGGUUUGGUAGGGGGGGGGGGGGGGGGGGGGGGGGGGGGGGGGGGGGGGGGGGGGGGGGUGCUACCUUCUCUCGAGACAGCUUUUAUUAGACAAGGUCAGAGGUCAAGUUGACAAUUUCGUAAGUACCAGUCAAUGACUGCUUGUUUAUUUAUUUUUCCCUUCCUUAACCAUGACACACUUUAUCUGCUGUACUAGGUUGAUGGUUAGUGAUUGCAGUGUGCAGCUACUCCCGAUCCCAACAAACACCCCCAUUGGGAAUCGUUUCGUGCACAUCACCCCGGCACUAGUCACGACUACCAGAUCGACGGCUCAAAGUGAAGGACAAGUUCAGUCCAUUCCCAAGCUCAUGAUAGAGGUGGAAUCGGCAGGGAAAGGGACUGUGGACAUCGGUCCAAGUAUGGCUGGAGAGGGAUGUUUUAAAAGGCUUUCUGUAAGCAAACGUCACAGGAAUGACAACCUUUGCACCUCUCCUGCACCUGGCAUGUCAGACACCUAUGAUCUGGCUAUGACCCAACCGGAAUCUUGCGCAGAGUGUGAUGCGCAUGAUGGCACGGUGAAUAACCCAUGUAGAACGUGCGGGAAAAUGACUGCUGUCUGCAUCGACGAGGGAGCGAAUACCACACCACUCACCAGCGCUGCGACGUCUAUGGUUGUGGAAAGUGAUAUUCUGAAGGAAGGGUUGCGAUCGGCACAAGUCGUGCAGUUCAAAAGCACGCACCUCAUUGGAAUUGGCCAUGGUGUCGUGGUUCGUUGUGUCAGCAAUGAGAGUCGAGGCAGUUUUCAGCCACGACCACCAUCCUCAUGUCCUACCGAGAGGGGUAGACGAGGUCUUCUGUCUCAGAGGUUCAGGCGUAAUGGCCGUCGGUCUCUUGGUAGACCACAGCAGCCAGCUGAACCCAUUGUUCUGUCAAGUGAUGAGGAAGAGGAGGAGAGAAAACGACGGAAAGAGGACCGUGUGGCAGCGGCGACCGAGGAAUGUACACCUCAACUUGAUCGCUCACUUUCAGAUGACAAUGGUUUGGUGUUUGAAUCUGACAUCGACAUGACGGAGGAAAAAGCAAAAUCGAGAUCUGAUUUGCUGACCUCUGAGUGUGAAAAUCCCAUUUUGGAGCCAAUUGCUGAACAUUGCACAUCCAGAGAUCGGGAACCGAGUCUGGAUAGUGACGCGCGAUUGACGCCUGAGGAAGAUUCAAAGACCGAGCUGCAGUUUCUCUCAACACUACCACCUGUUCCUCCUCUACUGAACAAGAAGGCUCGCAUGAAAGAUGAGUUUGGGCAGCUCGCUUUGUCCCAGGACAAGCAGCGAAAGGUCAGGCCGAAGCAAGCAAGUGCGACGCAGUCCUCUCUGACAUCCGAGUCUGAGAAAUGCUAUUCAAUGGUUCUGCAGUUACAGUGCAGGUUUUUGCGUUUGGGAACAUUGAAAGUGAUGGCCCAGAGAAGUGUCACGGUGGGUAACUUUUUACCGACUUGUUACCUCGAGCGAAACACAAUUUUGCACAUGUCAAGGGACUUUGGCCAGAGGAUUUGUCUUUCUCUUUCGGGUUGGGAAUGAGGUGUUUUGAAUGUGUUUUAAAGGCACGACAAUUUCAUUGGUUGCUUUUCAACUUCACUGGUUUGUUUUUCAGGUUUCUGUCGAAAAUGUGA